GGGGACUCAAAUAAAAACAUUCCAGGGUUAUACGGUUAACGGUUUAUGAGUUAAAAAAACAUACCGACAAAUUUAUUCCGUAAAGGUACAUAACUCCUAUAAAAUUUCAUCGAAUCGCUUCGAUCCAAAUUAGCCAAAAAUUCCUGAGGAUGUAACGAACAAUUUGUAAAAAGAAUUUUGUCGCUUUCUUAUUUUGUUACGAAGGAGAUGCACACACAUGACAAACAGUGAAUAGGGAGAUAACUCUUACAAAGAAAAUGGUUCGGCUUAGCAGGGUGAAAUUUAAAAGCGCAUAAACUAUACGAUACAAUAUGAAAAAAAUCUAAGCGACAUAUUGCGAAACAAACAUUUAUCGCAAGAACAAAAUUUGGCGGAAAAAAAAAAAAAAUAAUAAUAAUAAUAAUCAGAACAAAUACAAUAGGCUUUCCACAGAAAAGUGGAAAGACCUAAUAAAUAUAAAGCAAUUGUUUUGAAAACAAUUGUUAGGCAGUCUUUCCCCUCUGAUGAAUGGAUAAUUGAUUUUUUUUAUUGAUUGAUUUGGAAAAAGGGGGGGGUUGGGUAUUUGUUUAUUUGUUUGUUUGUUUGCUUUGGUAUGGGGUCUAUAUUAUUAUGUUACCGGAGAAGUUUCAUGUUUAGUUUGGAAAGUUUUUCUUUUAUUUUAGAUACAGCGCGCGCGCAAGAUUGAGGAGACAUCAC
This 696-nucleotide long non-coding RNA is filed under the name Mytilus galloprovincialis (Mediterranean mussel). Lineage: Eukaryota; Metazoa; Mollusca; Bivalvia; Mytilida; Mytilidae. The record is from RNAcentral.